This is a long non-coding RNA of Magallana angulata, 1366 nucleotides long. RefSeq lists it as uncharacterized. The transcript is spliced from 2 exons. Lineage: Eukaryota; Metazoa; Mollusca; Bivalvia; Ostreida; Ostreidae. The record is from RefSeq and is a predicted model, not a curated record.
GCCGUUUAAGUGAGGGAGCCGAGGCAUCAAUAUAUAGCCUUGUAUGGCAUCCCUAAAAAUGCAAAAAUGGUGAACCCUGGGAACAGAUGUUCACAAUUACAUAUUGUCAAGAUAAGCACAUAUUAGUUAUAACCAAGUCCAAUGAUACUACUCGUAAGCCUAAAAGCCGUAUCCACACUUUGAGGCGUCUCAGACUUUGGUGAAGAAGAUGCAAAAAACGGCCAUGACGAUGGGAUUGAUGAAGACAGUACAUUUACUCAGCAAGAUCAAAAGCAACACAACCUGUAAAUACAACAAAUCUAACAGCAGAAAAGGUGUAAUAAAAUCACAACUAAUAUGAAACAUUUUAUAUUCAAUAACCAAAAAAGCUAGUUAAAGAGGGUUGGAGGGUGGAUAAAAUUUUCUGCUUUGACUGAUGAUGUAAAUGCGUACUAUAAUGACGUCAGCAAUUCAUGAUGUUCUCACUAAAUUUCGCGCGAAAAGUCAAUAAAGCUCAAAUUACGAAAUUUUUUUAAAAAAAAAAAGAAAAAAUAUUGUCCGUUUACUUUGAUAAAUGGAUUUAACCUUAAAUGGUGAAAUCCAAUUAAUUAUCGUCAUAUUGUGCGCAACCAGAUGACACACAUUUCGCACAAAAUUUACAUACUGCCAAAGGGCAAAGUAUUCAGGAUAUAAAGCUCUGUUAUAUAUAUAUUACAGCGCAUACACAUUUUAGGAGUUUUUCAGACGCACCUAUACAAUGAUUAAGCUAUUAGUAUUGCUGGGCCUGGUUGGUGUAAUCUGUGGGCAGUGUAACGAUUUCAACAUCCAGUACCAAUGUUUGAUGAACGCCAAUCAGAAAUUGGAUGCCUGUGAAAAAGCCUGCCCUCUUCCUCAGUAUGGCUGCAACAGAACGCAAUGUCAACUCGAUUGCCAGAAGAAGGCAUACCAACGUCUAACUUUCUGUAUCAUACACGAUUAAACUGGAGAUCUUUUGAAAAACAUGCGACAUAAUGGUCAAAAUCUACGGAUAUAAUAAAUAAUUGCGUUGUAUUUGGCAUUAAUAUUGUAAUUCGUUAUUAAGGUUCACGCCCUAGCUUGAUAGGUUUGUACAUUGUUUCGUCCUAGUAUUUGAUGUUUUUGUUUUAAUGGUACACAUUAAUAUGUGCCACAUAUUUUUUUACAUAUGUUGAGAUCAAACAUAUGUUAAACAUAUGGGUAUAUCACAUGUGGUACUUAAAUCACGUUAAACGCACGCGAGGUCACAUAUAUAUCACACAUCAUUAACCAUGUGGCACAUAUUGCAGUGUAAUUAUUAAAAUAUCUUUGUAUUCACAGUCCAUAUAUCUGUAAUAAACAGCUGUUUAGCUAUUAAAAAAAAUUACAAUUA